RNAcentral lists this long non-coding RNA (1161 nucleotides) under Homo sapiens (human). Its description in RNAcentral is "HSALNT0146947". Lineage: Eukaryota; Metazoa; Chordata; Mammalia; Primates; Hominidae. The record is from RNAcentral.
AUGAAUUAGGACUUCUAUUAAGGCCUCGGGUCUCGCACUGUCGCCCAGGCUGGAGUCUGCAGUGCAGCGGCAGGAUCUCGGCUCACUGCAACCUCCGCCUCCGCCUCCCGGGUUCAAGCCAUUCUCCUGCCUCAGCCACCCGAAUAGCUGGGAUUACAGGAGCCCGCCACCACGCCCAGCUAAUUUUUGUAUUUUUAGUAGAGACGGGGUUUCACCGUGUUGGCCAGGCUGGUCUUGAACUCCCGACCUCGUGAUUCGCCUGCCUCGGCCUCCCGAAGUGCUGGGAUUACAGGCAUGAGCCACCGCGCCCGGACUGCACACCUCUUGACUCUUUGGAAAUUGCCUCAAAGGAAACUUCAGAGUAAAGAUUGAGAUGAGAACUUUACAGGUAACCUGCACCCUGGGCAACCACCCUCCUCCCAGCACUCAGAGCUACAGCAGCCAUGGCUACCCCAAGAUCUGUCAGUAUUGGAGCCCCAACCCUGCCCCCCAGGACACCAAAGCCUACAAAGUACCUCAGUACUUCACUGCUUAACAAGUAGAACAUCAACUGUGAUACUAAGCAGCAUUGAUUAAUGAUAAAGAUGACCCUUGGUUGGUAAAUUGCAUCUGGACUAACCAACUCCAUUUUGCUUCUAACCACCAAGCUGUCCUUGUUCAUUCCUGGGCAUAGGCUGAAUUAACUUUGAGAGGAACCUGUUUAUAGUUUAUAGUUUAAAACAAAGAUGAUAACAGGCUUUUCCCAGGGAAAAUCUCCUUCUUGCCUGGGGACUAGACCGCCUUCGCAGGACUAAGAAAUUAGCCACAAGAUUAGAAAUUUCGGUUUAGGAGUCAUGCAGCUGGAGGCUACAAGAUUCUGACACUACCUAAGCUGCUCCUAAGAGCAGUGCUUGAGAUGUUUUGCAGACCCAGCACUUGAAGGAUCAGGUGACACCACCUGGACCAAUAAACUGGCUCAUCUGAUCUUGUGCCUCCCACCCAGGAACUGACUCAGCACAAGAAGACAGCUCGACUCCCUAUGAUUUCACCUCUGACCUGACCAAUCAGCACUCCCGGCUCACUGGCUUGCCCCCCAACCACCAAGUUGUCCUUACAAACUCUGAUCCCCAAAUGCCUGGGGAGACUGAUUUGAGUAAUAAUAAAAGUCCAGUCUCCCGCACC